UCUAAACAAGAAAAAGAUGUGAGUUGAGGUGAGUUCAGCUAAAGCUAACUGGCUACUUUAGCUCAUUUCGGCUUACCCUAACCACCUAUUUUAGCUCAGCUUGGCUAACGCUAACCAGAAACUUUAGGUCAGCUUGGCUUUUGCUAACCGGCUACAUUGGGUGAUCUUGGCUAAUCCUAACUGGCUACUUUAGCUCAGCUUGGCUAACGCUGAGUAUGCUAACUAAGCUUAGCUAAAGUUAACUAGCUACUUUAGGUGAGCUUUCCUGACGCUAGCGGCUUCCUUAUGUGAGCUCAGCUAAAGUUAACCAGCUACUUUAGGUAAGUAUGGCUAAAGCUAACUAGCUUUUUUAGGUCAGCUCGGUUAAUGCAGCCAGCUACUUUAGUUCAGCUUGGCUAAUGCUAACCAGCUAUUUUGGGUCAGCUCAGCUAAAGCUAACCAGCUACUUUAGCUCAGCUUGGCUAAUGCUAACCGGCUACUUUAGGAGAGCUCAGCUAAAGCUAACCAGCCACUUUAGCUCAGCUUGUCUAAUGCUAACCGGCUACUUUAGGUGAGCUCAGCUAAAGCUAACCAGCUACUUUAGCUCGGCUUGGCUAAAGCUAACUGUACUGCAACAGGAUGCUCUUUUCUUUUAUAAGUCUGUGUUCACAAAGAGUUUUUUACAGAACACGGUUCUCUCAGCUCUGUUGUAUUUAAAUCUCCUGAGUAAAUCUCAGAUCAUUAAUAUCUUAAAGACAGUCUAUAUAAAAAUAAAAACUUCUUGGCUUUGCUGGAGAGUGAACCUGUGUCAUGGGGAUCAUUUGUGUAACAGAACACAACAACUGCUAUGUUUUGAUGUUGGCUUUCAGCGCUUGUUCAUCACACCUCUCUGCUUCAUCUUUAGGCCUGUACUGCUGGACUGCACAUGGCUCUAUAUAUGCAACCAGCAAAAAAGGAAAGGCAGAGAAAUUCCAUAGGUCAGGAGUCAGCAUGCAGAAAGCUGUUCCAACUGCAUGAGCUUACUGAUGCUGCCCACACGAGAGCUGGAGGUACAGACCACACAUCUGCCUGGCAUCCUGCCAUCCUGACUUGUUGCAGAAGGAUGAGGCUAUCAUCAUGGGAAAGCAGACUGGAGUUACUUUCAAACUUUGCUUACCAGCAGAUCUGAUCUUCAGCAUAUUUACCAGCUCCGCCAACUGAAGCACAGAUAAAGCUCAAAAACCCAUUAGCUGCUUCACUGAAGUCUGUUCACACAAUGUAAAGGUCAUCUGGCAAUUUUCACAUGGUAAACCAAUAAAAAUAAGACAGGCGUUUGAUGUAAUAUUAAA
Molecule: long non-coding RNA, 1307 nt
Filed under: Astyanax mexicanus (Mexican tetra)
Lineage: Eukaryota; Metazoa; Chordata; Actinopteri; Characiformes; Acestrorhamphidae
Description: lncRNA (ENSAMXG00005016530.1)
Source: RNAcentral